Molecule: small RNA, 27 nt
Filed under: Bombyx mori (domestic silkworm)
Lineage: Eukaryota; Metazoa; Arthropoda; Insecta; Lepidoptera; Bombycidae
Description: ovarian small RNA-20446
Source: RNAcentral
UACAUGUUGCCAUUGGGCGUAGGUCCA